AUUGAACGCUAGCGGAAUGCCUUACACAUGCAAGUCGAGCGGAGCGGCGGACGGGUGAGUAAUGCCUAGGAACCUGCCCGGUAGUGGGGGAUACCGACCGGAAAGGGGCGCUAAUACCGCAUACUAUUAGAUAUGCCUAGAGCGGAUUAGCUAGUUGGUGGGGGAAAGGCCUACAAAGGCGACGAUCCGGAACUGGUUUGAGAGGAUGAUCAGUCACACUGGAACUGAGACACGGUCCAGACUCCUACGGGAGGCAGCAGUGGGGAAUAUUGGACAAUGGGCGAAAGCCUGAUCCAGCCAUGCCGCGUGUGGGAAGAAGGUCUUCGGAUUGUAAAGCACUUUAAGUUGGGAGGCGUUACCAACAGAAUAAGCACCGGCUAACUUCGUGCCAGCAGCCGCGGUAAUUC
RNAcentral lists this ribosomal RNA (407 nucleotides) under uncultured bacterium. RNAcentral's name for it is "partial 16S ribosomal RNA". It matches the Rfam family "Bacterial small subunit ribosomal RNA", at positions 30 to 526 of the family's 1533-position model. The record is from RNAcentral.